GGUUAAGCGACUAAGCGUACACGGUGGAUGCCCUGGCAGUCAGAGGCGAUGAAGGACGUGCUAAUCUGCGAAAAGCGUCGGUAAGGUGAUAUGAACCGUUAUAACCGGCGAUGUCCGAAUGGGGAAACCCAGUGCAAUUCGUUGCACUAUCGUUAACUGAAUACAUAGGUUAACGAGGCGAACCGGGGGAACUGAAACAUCUAAGUACCCCGAGGAAAAGAAAUCAACCGAGAUUCCCCCAGUAGCGGCGAGCGAACGGGGAGCAGCCCAGAGUCUGAAUCAGCUUGUGUGUUAGUGGAACGGUCUGGAAAGUCCGACGGUACAGGGUGAUAGUCCCGUACACCAAAAUGCACAGGCUGUGAACUCGAAGAGUAGGGCGGGACACGUGGUAUCCUGUCUGAAUAUGGGGGGACCAUCCUCCAAGGCUAAAUACUCCUGACUGACCGAUAGUGAACCAGUACCGUGAGGGAAAGGCGAAAAGAACCCCGGCGAGGGGAGUGAAAAAGAACCUGAAACCGUGUACGUACAAGCAGUGGGAGCACCUUCGGGUGUGACUGCGUACCUUUUGUAUAAUGGGUCAGCGACUUAUAUUCUGUAGCAAGGUUAACCGUAUAGGGGAGCCGCAGGGAAACCGAGUCUUAACUGGGCGUUAAGUUGCAGGGUAUAGACCCGAAACCCGGUGAUCUAGCCAUGGGCAGGUUGAAGGU
Molecule: ribosomal RNA, 707 nt
Filed under: Pseudomonas aeruginosa
Lineage: Bacteria; Pseudomonadati; Pseudomonadota; Gammaproteobacteria; Pseudomonadales; Pseudomonadaceae
Description: partial 23S ribosomal RNA
Rfam family: Bacterial large subunit ribosomal RNA
Source: RNAcentral